AGUGAACGCUGGCGGUAGGCCUAACACAUGCAAGUCGAACGGCAGCACAGGAGAGCUUGCUCUCUGGGUGGCGAGUGGCGGACGGGUGAGGAAUACAUCGGAAUCUACUUUUUCGUGAGGGAUAACGUAGGGAAACUUACGCUAAUACCGCAUACGACCUACGGGUGAAAGCAGGAGACCCUCGGGCCUUGCGCGAUUGAAUGCGCCGAUGUCGGAUUAGCUAGUUGGCGGAGUAAAGGCCCACCAAGGCGACGAUCCGUAGCUGGUCUGAGAGGAUGAUCAGCCACACUGGAACUGAGACACGGUCCAGACUCCUACGGGAGGCAGCAGUGGGGAAUAUUGGACAAUGGGCGCAAGCCUGAUCCAGCCAUACCGCGUGGGUGAAGAAGGCCUUCGGGUUGUAAAGCCCUUUUGUUGGGAAAGAAAUCCAGCUGGCUAAUACCCGGUUGGGAUGACGGUACCCAAAGAAGAAGCACCGGCUAACUUCGUGACAGCCGCCGCCGUAA
This 506-nucleotide ribosomal RNA is filed under the name uncultured bacterium. RNAcentral describes it as "partial 16S ribosomal RNA". It matches the Rfam family "Bacterial small subunit ribosomal RNA", at positions 29 to 523 of the family's 1533-position model. The record is from RNAcentral.